UACGUAGGCAGCGAGCGUUGUUCGGAAUUACUGGGCGUAAAGAGUGUGUAGGCGGUGCUCUAAGUUCGGUGUGAAAUCUCCCGGCUUAACUGGGAGGGUGCGCCGGAAACUGGAGUGCUCGAGCGUGGGAGAGGAAAGCGGAAUUCCUGGUGUAGCGGUGAAAUGCGUAGAUAUCGGAAGGAACACCUGUGGCGAAAGCGGCUCACUGGACCAUUACUGACGCUGAGGCACGAAAGCUAGGGGAGCAAACAGG
RNAcentral lists this ribosomal RNA (253 nucleotides) under uncultured bacterium. RNAcentral's name for it is "partial 16S ribosomal RNA". It matches the Rfam family "Bacterial small subunit ribosomal RNA", at positions 524 to 776 of the family's 1533-position model. The record is from RNAcentral.